AUUGAACGCUGGCGGCAUGCUUUACACAUGCCAGUCGAACGGUAACAGGCCUUCGGGUGCUGACGAGUGGCGAACGGGUGAGUAAUGCAUCGGAACGUGCCCAGAGGUGGGGGAUAACGCAGCGAAAGCUGUGCUAAUACCGCAUGUGAUCUGAGGAUGAAAGCGGGGGACCAAGCAGCAAUGUUUGGCCUCGCGCCUCUGGAGCGGCCGAUGUCAGAUUAGGUAGUUGGUGGGGUAAAGGCCUACCAAGCCGACGAUCUGUAGCUGGUCUGAGAGGACGACCAGCCACACUGGGACUGAGACACGGCCCAGACUCCUACGGGAGGCAGCAGUGGGGAAUUUUGGACAAUGGGCGCAAGCCUGAUCCAGCAAUGCCGCGUGCGGGAAGAAGGCCUUCGGGUUGUAAACCGCUUUUGUACGGAACGAAAAGGCUCUGGCUAAUACCUGGGGCUGAUGACGGUACCGUAAGAAUAAGCACCGGCUAACUACGUG
RNAcentral lists this ribosomal RNA (492 nucleotides) under uncultured bacterium. RNAcentral describes it as "partial 16S ribosomal RNA". It matches the Rfam family "Bacterial small subunit ribosomal RNA", at positions 30 to 507 of the family's 1533-position model. The record is from RNAcentral.